GACAGAGGGGGUGAGCGUUGCCCGGAUUUACUGGGCUUAAAGGGUCCGUAGGCGGUGUCCUCAGUCCCCCGUGAAAGCUGCCCGCUCAACGGGCAGAGGUCGGGGGAGACUGGGACACUUGAGGGCGGGAGAGGCCGGCGGAACGGCGGGUGUAGCGGUGAAAUGCGUCGAUAUCCGCCGGAACACCAGUGGCGAAGGCGGCCGGCUGGAACGCCCCUGACGCUGAGGGACGAAGGCCGGGGGAGCGAACCGG
RNAcentral lists this ribosomal RNA (253 nucleotides) under uncultured bacterium. RNAcentral describes it as "partial 16S ribosomal RNA". It matches the Rfam family "Bacterial small subunit ribosomal RNA", at positions 524 to 776 of the family's 1533-position model. The record is from RNAcentral.